UACGGAGGGUGCGAGCGUUAAUCGGAUUUACUGGGCGUAAAGGGCGCGUAGGUGGCUUGUUAAGUCGGGUGUGAAAGCCCCGGGCUUAACCUGGGAAUUGCAUUCGAUACUGCCUCGCUCGAGUACGGUAGAGGAGAGUGGAAUUCCCGGUGUAGCGGUGAAAUGCGUAGAUAUCGGGAGGAACAUCAGUGGCGAAGGCGGCUCUCUGGACCGAUGCUGACACUGAGGCGCGAAAGCGUGGGGAGCAAACAGG
Molecule: ribosomal RNA, 253 nt
Filed under: uncultured bacterium
Lineage: Bacteria
Description: partial 16S ribosomal RNA
Rfam family: Bacterial small subunit ribosomal RNA
Source: RNAcentral